Long non-coding RNA from Pyrus x bretschneideri (Chinese white pear), 970 nucleotides. RefSeq lists it as uncharacterized. Lineage: Eukaryota; Viridiplantae; Streptophyta; Magnoliopsida; Rosales; Rosaceae. The record is from RefSeq and is a predicted model, not a curated record. The transcript is spliced from 3 exons.
UAUAAUUUAUCAUUGUACAUUUUUUUAAAAUUUUUCUGUGAUAACAAACAAUAAAAUUUUUAUACCUUCUUAACUUUUUAAACCCAUGUAUAUCUGAUGAGAAGAAAAAAAAAUAAAAAAGUGUGAUUAAAACUGGGCCACAUGAUUUGUGGCACAAAAAACAAUAAAAAUUCAUACCUGCCCACGUGUCAGUCAUUGCCAUAAGGUAGUAUCUCUACCUUUGUUCUUCUUUCUUCAGUUUUCUUUUGAAAUUUUCUUUGUUGUUUUUCUUUGCUUCUCCUGCUUUUGGCAGUUGUUUGCUUUCUUCGUUGUCCUUGUUGCUUCUCCCGCUCUUGCCAAUCCUUUUCUUUUGUUUUUGAAUCGUUGUCAACACCUGAACCAAGUGAUCAAUCUUAUAAACGAAAAAGAGAAUUUGUGAGAAGAGCGCUUUUCAUUCCUGGUGAACAAAGUGAAUCUGAAGAAAUUUCAGAAGUUGAUCCAAGAGAAUGUGAUGAGGUUCCGAUAAAGUUAUUAAAAAAAAAAAUCACCUCCAACUCAAGCAAAGCCACACAGCAGCACUGGAAACAAUGAUUAGGUUGUUUUAUCCAUGACAACAAGGACUAAAGACACCUUUCACUACUCUGAUCAAAAAUGUUUACCGUGUUUUGUUUAUUUAUAUUAAAUCAUGUUUAACAUGUUUAAAAACCUAUACAUAUCUUUUUUGGCCCAAAACUCAACAAUAUUUUUUGCAUCCCCAUACAACAGCAUCUCCUCAUUUUUUGUAUGCAAAAGCUGGAACACACUAUAUUAGAUGGGGUUAUUGGAAGAAAUUCAGUUAUUAUAAUGUUUUUUGUAUCUUUAUACCAGGAAUUUCUAUUUUUUGUAACUGAAUGUAAUCCUCCUGGUUCAGAAAUACAUACAACUGCUACAAUAUAAUGGAUAACUAUAAUUUGUAUCUUUAUAUUAUCUCAAUUUAACCUUUUCCAGUUAA